This 497-nucleotide ribosomal RNA is filed under the name uncultured bacterium. Its description in RNAcentral is "partial 16S ribosomal RNA". It matches the Rfam family "Bacterial small subunit ribosomal RNA", at positions 28 to 507 of the family's 1533-position model. The record is from RNAcentral.
GAUGAACGCUGGCGGCGUGCCUAAUACAUGCAAGUCGAGCGAACAGACGAGGAGCUUGCUCCUCUGACGUUAGCGGCGGACGGGUGAGUAACACGUGGAUAACCUACCUAUAAGACUGGGAUAACUUCGGGAAACCGGGGCUAAUACCGGAUAAUAUAUUGAACCGCAUGGUUCAAUAGUGAAAGACGGUUUUGCUGUCACUUUUAGAUGGAUCCGCGCCGCAUUAGCUAGUUGGUAAGGUAACGGCUUACCAAGGCAACGAUGCGUAGCCGACCUGAGAGGGUGAUCGGCCACACUGGAACUGAGACACGGUCCAGACUCCUACGGGAGGCAGCAGUAGGGAAUCUUCCGCAAUGGGCGAAAGCCUGACGGAGCAACGCCGCGUGAGUGAUGAAGGUCUUCGGAUCGUAAAACUCUGUUAUUAGGGAAGAACAAAUGUGUAAGUAACUAUGCACGUCUUGACGGUACCUAAUCAGAAAGCCACGGCUAACUACGUG